GCGGUAAGGAAAAACUCCCAAAAAAAACCGGAUUCCGGAAAAAACGAAGAAACCUCAGGGGUGACCACAUGAAGGAGGGAUCCUCCCCCAGGACGGACACUAAAACCUACCAUGACUCAAUCCAUAUGACUAAUGCAGGUAGGCAAGUUGUGAAACACAGCAACAGAACUACAGCUGAAAGCGGUUGUCAUUCAGACACAGCUCCUGCAGUAGAUAGGACUGGGAGUCCUCCGCAUGAUCUCAUAAACUAAGGUGGAUAAAGGUGAAGAGGAUUUCAUGUAAUCCAUGGACACC
Molecule: non-coding RNA, 294 nt
Organism: Oryzias latipes (Japanese medaka)
Lineage: Eukaryota; Metazoa; Chordata; Actinopteri; Beloniformes; Adrianichthyidae
Source: RefSeq, a predicted model, not a curated record